RNAcentral lists this ribosomal RNA (2430 nucleotides) under Triticum aestivum (bread wheat). RNAcentral describes it as "partial small subunit ribosomal RNA". Lineage: Eukaryota; Viridiplantae; Streptophyta; Magnoliopsida; Poales; Poaceae. The record is from RNAcentral.
AUGUCCUCCCAGCCAGAGAUAUCCCAAGUUGUUCGAUCAGCUCAAGCUGUAGAAGAAGCUGAUGAGCACUAUGACCCAUUCAAAGAUCCUAAGAGGAGGCCAACAAAGAGCAAGGAUCUGGCAUGGAAAUAUGCAUUCUGGCCAGAUCUUAACAAGAUAUUGUUGCUGCAAUGUAAUUUGUGCGGCAAGCAAAUUACCUCUAGACCGUGUAGGAUGAAGAAACACCUUGCUGGGGGGUUUACAAUUGUGAGUAUGUGCACCAAAACAACCCCUGGAAUUCGAAAGGAGAUGCACGACUACUUGAGGACUCACUCAUUCAGUUUCAAAAAUCUUGAUGGAGAUGAAGGUGGUGAAGAAGGUGGUGAAGAAGGUGCUGAACAAGAGAAGUGUGCAGCAAGUUCAAGAGCUUCCAACUCCAACUCCAACGCCUCCACCAAAAGGAAAUCAGAGGGGACUACUCAUUUGGCAACGACGGUGGCAAAGAAGCAAGGAAAGUCCAUUGCAAAUCAGAUUCGGAAGACACCGGAAGAGGUGGUUGCUGAGAGACAUAUGUUAAAGGGCACUCAAAAGACCAUGAAGGAUUACAGCAAGAAGACAAAGGAGCAAAAAGAUGAAGUAGAUGGUCAUGUAGCUGACUUUUUGUAUGAGAAUUGCCUUCCACUCAAUAUUGUUAAUUCAAGGAGUUGGGAGAUUCUAUUGGAGUCUAUAGGGCAGUAUGGCUCUGAUUAUAUAUCUCCUACUUAUCAUCAAGUGAGGGAACCAUUGCUUGAGAAGGAAAAGAUCAAGACCGACAACUUGAAAGGGAAGCAUGAAGUUGCAUGGAAAGAAUAUGCCAAUGUUUCUUCUGAAACAGUUGAUGCAAAUCUGGUGGCAAAGCUGUUGAGCGAACAAAUUGAUGCAAUUGGCCCUGAAUUGGUAGUCCAAGUAGUUAGCGAUAAUGGGUCUAACUACAAGGCAGCCUGUAGACUUCUAAUGGAAAAGUAUCCUACAAUGUAUUGGACACCUUGUGCUGCCCACUGUUUGGAUCUUAUGCUAGAGGACACUGGGAAGAUCAAAGAGUUCAGUCGUUGCAUUGCUAAAGCAAAGAGAACAACCAGAUUUAUUUAUGCCCAUGGAAAGGUUCUUGAUUUAAUGAGAAGCUUGAACGGUAAGCAAGAAAUUGUGAGGCCUGGAGCAACUCGUUUUGCUACGUCAUUCCUUACUUUGGCAAGCAUGUGGAAGCAAAGGCAAACCUUGAAAACUCUCUUUGUUAGCCCACAAUGGUAUGCAAACAGAUUAAAGGACAGCGAAGGAGGGAAGGCGGCUGAAGCAACUAUGAUCUCCGUGUCAUUUUGGCAAUCGGUGGAGCAUUGCAUGAGAGCUUCACAACCACUUCUUAGAGCUUUGAGGAUUGCUGAUGGUGAUGAGACUCCGGCUAUGGCAGAAAUGUGGGCAGCCAUGGAUUUUGCAAAGACACACAUAAAGGAAGCUUUGGCACAUAAGCCAAACCUCCUAGGUCAAGUGGUAGCUAUUGUUGAUAAGAGGUGGGAUAAUCAUAUGGAACAAAAGCUACAUGGGGCUGCUUUGUUCUUGAACCCAAAUAAAUUCUUUGCCAUUAAGGAGUCCAACAGAAGACAAGCUGCCCGUCUCCAUUCAAUGUUCAAUGAUGUGCUAUGGAAGAUGGUGCCCGAUGAUGAGCAGCAAGCAACUAUUAGUAGGGAAGCUGACGACUAUGAGCUGGGGAGUGAAUGUUUCUCGAAGCCAUUGUCAAUUAAAGACCAUGACAAAAAAAGCCCUCUUCUUUGGUGGAAUGCUUAUGGUGGCCUUGCUUUUGACCUCCAAACUCUUGCAAAGCGAAUCAUUAGUCUAUGUUGUUCAGCAUCUGGCUGCGAGCGCAAUUGGAGUGUAUUUGCUCAUAUCCACACCAAAGGGAGAAACCGUCUAGAGUACAAGAGAUUGAACAAGCUAUCAUAUGUCCCGUACAACCGGAAAAUGGAAGCUAGGUUUCAGAAUCUGUGUGAGCAAGGCUCUAAAGCAAAGAAAUCUAGUCCAGUUGUCCUAGAAGAAUUUGAAUGGGAUAAUGAAUGGGUUGAUAUCAAUGCUGAAAUGGUACAUGAAGAUCAAGCUCAAGUCAUGGACGGUGAAACACCACUACUUUGGUCUCAGGUUGAUGAAGCCAUGGGUGCGUCAACUUCUCUAGCAGGCCGCAACUAUCCUAGGAGAGCUCAUGGUGAUCCUAGCGAGCCUAUUGCACGACCCAUAGGCCCUUAUAUCACCUACACUCAGAACAACGCAAGAACAAGGCUGGUUGUGCAUGAUGAAGAGUUGAGGGCUGAAUUAGAAGCGGCAGAAUGUGACAAAGACAUGGAGAGUAGUGAUGAAGACGAUGCUGAAUCACCAGAUGAUGAAGACACUGAUUUUCAGCUUGAAGACAUGGAGCUUGAGGCUUGA